Octopus sinensis (East Asian common octopus) is the source of this 2779-nucleotide long non-coding RNA. RefSeq lists it as uncharacterized. Lineage: Eukaryota; Metazoa; Mollusca; Cephalopoda; Octopoda; Octopodidae. The transcript is spliced from 2 exons. The record is from RefSeq and is a predicted model, not a curated record.
UUCAGACUGAUCCAUGUGGAAUUCAAGCAGCCUAAGUUUACUGUUUCUUUGCCUGGACUGGAACUACAAAUACAGUAAAUGCUGCAACAUCAAUAAAUUAAGAAAGAAGUUGUCAAUCAAGUGAUAUAAAAUCUCAAAAUGACAUACAGAGAAUUACUAAAUGUCUUCGACAAAAACUCUUCCUCUAAAUGUCAUCAAUGCAGUAGUAAUAUUUUGUUCUCACUCAUACUAUUUACUGGAAUCUCUCAAAUUGGUUUGAGUAUUGGCCUUUUAUUUCUGUGUAGAAAUCAAAUAAGUGAGGUAUCUUGUGCUUUCUCACUAAAAGCUCACCUUGUACAGGUUUAGCCGCCCCUGUCUAUAUUGGAUGUCUUAUUCUCUGCAUAGCAAUCUUUGGAUUUGCCUGUCUUGGUCGGCGAGCAUCAGCAGCACUACUUUUAUUCAUUACUGUUGGUGACAUUUGCCUGGGUUUUAUGCAAUUAGCAAGUGAGAAAAUUCUGUUCACUGACUAUUUUAAUACAUUUAAUUCAAGAGAAAUCUGUCAAUCUGCCCAACAAAAUUCAUCUCAACUUUUACAAUGCUGGAACCAUAUUACACACCUAUACCCAGCCUGUAGUAUAUAUGAACAUGAGAUAACCAAUGAUUGUGUUCACAGCUAUAAUAUUUACUUCAAUCGAUCAAUCAAUCUGAAAGUAACAGAACUACUGUGCCAUGCAUUAGUGAUAUUAAUAGAUUGGUCAGUUCAACUUAUACGGACUUCCGAUUUAUGUGUGGCCCUAUUGUAUUACUCAAUGCUUUUGUCUGUGUCAUUCUAAUACUAUUUCUAGAGUUUUUUCAUCAACAGAAACAGAAUAGUAAAAAACAGCAACAUGACUUAGCAGCACUAGAAGGAAUUUAUGAAAUUUCUGAACAAAAGUAAUAAAAAUAUUUAUUCAAUGUCAAUAAUUUAUCCUCAUAAUCGUACUUCGGUUCACAUUCUAUUUUACUAAAAAAAGUCAACUUUUGGUGAUCAUUCUAAAUUGAAUUAAAAGUAUUUUCUAAUACUAAUAACAUUGAAUUUUCGGCCCUGUUUUUAGAAUGACAUUAACUAAAGAUAUAAAGUGUCAAACAGACCAUAUGUAUUAUAUAUUUAUAUAUAUAUUUAUUUAAAUACUGAGUGUAUUUUAUUUAAUCUAAAUAAGAACUAAAUGAAAGGACCAUUUUAUGAUAUAAUGGCAAGUCGUAGGAAGAAUAUUCAGGAGUUAGAGAAGGCAUUUCAUUAUCCCUUUUUAUAGCAACACACAAGGUUGCCUUGCUGCCAUAAUUUUAUAAGAAAUCUCAACUUCAAAAUGAUAAAAUUAGUUAUUUUACUAAAUCCUUACAAAUUCUAGAUUAUUUCAAAAUUAAUUGAAGCAUGUUGGUAGUGUUUUGUUAGGAACAUGAUUAUAAAAGGAUUAAAUUUAAUGAUUAGACCAACCAAAGCCAGAAUGGAAAAUGGAUAUAUCUUGCAAAAAAAAAAAAAAAAUCAACAUAAUAGUUGUGUGAGUUAUGUGUGUAUAAAUAUGCCAUGAUAAAAAUAUAUAACAACUACUUACUUUUAACAAUUAUCUUUGAAAUUUUUCAUAUUAUAUAUAUUUUAAAUGUGCUGGUAAAACUGUGCAAAAACUCCCACAAUGACCCCAUUUUGAGUGCUCCUUAUACAACAAGGAUUGUUGAAAUCCACAUUUAAACCUUUCACAGUUGCUUCUUUUGCAAAUGUAUUCCAGGUGCUAAUCUUGUGUAGUACAGUUUAACAUCACAUUUCACCUAAACAUUGAAGCCUACAGUCAUUGUAAGGAUGUUGGUCUACUCUCACCUUUUGCUACCUGCUAGUCUAUUGGAAAUAGGAUUGCUAUUUGAAUUGAGAGAAAGUUCCUACUAUUUUUUUUUACAUCUAAUAUCUAAUUUCAAUGAAGAUUUUUUUAAGAUACAUUGUCAGCUAUUUGUAGAUAUUUUUACUAAUGUAAUAUGAUAUGAGAUUGACAAUAGUCACAUGGUCAAGUAAAAUCAUAUAUUGGUUAAUUGUGUUAAAUUUCUUAUCAAAGUGAUCAAUAUUGGGUGUAGCUGUUGUACUCCUUUAUCCUAAGUUAAGUAACUUGUAAUAUUGUGUAAUGGAUUGGUUAUAUAUGUAUGAUAUGCACCUCUAGAAUAACAUUACUUGAUAGGGUGCAAAGCUCAGAGAUCAGGGAAUCUCUCUAGGUUGAGCUAAUCCACAUUGGGAGGUCACAGCUCUGAUACUAUGGACAUGUGAUAAGAAUGUCUUUAAAAAGAAUCACAAGGUGAAUUCUUCAAGCUGAACUAACCAGCAGGAAACCUAGGGGUAGAUUUAGAAUGAGAUGGUUGAAUAAUAUCCUAAGACUCAGUUGGUUGCACUUGGGAAUCCAAAGGGAAAGUCUAAUGAUGGCUGCUUCUUAUGGAGGAGAUGCCUGAAGAUUCUACUCCAACAAACCUCCCAGAAAUAGUGGGCAGAAAAGAUGGAUGGAUGGAUGGAGAUGCACCUAAGACUGGUGCAGUGUACAUUUUGUUUAACUUCCUUAUUUAGUCACAUUCUUGUAUACCACUUAUGAAAUGAUCAGAGAAAAUGUGAUGCCAAACUACAUUAAGAAUGUCCAACAGCCAGUAUGCAUAUGGAAAAAAGGAACAAUAGAAAGAACUUAGUAUCAAUUCUUAAAAUUAAGUCUUGAUAAGCAUUGAAGAACACUCAUAAUAUAGAUCUCUCAAUGCUAAAUUAAAAGACACUUACAUCUAUAAAUUUGAAAAGUUU